Molecule: ribosomal RNA, 253 nt
Filed under: uncultured bacterium
Lineage: Bacteria
Description: partial 16S ribosomal RNA
Rfam family: Bacterial small subunit ribosomal RNA
Source: RNAcentral
UACGUAGGGGGCGAGCGUUGUCCGGAGUUACUGGGCGUAAAGGGCAUGCAGGCGGUCAGGCGCGUUUUGUGUGACAGCGGAUGGCUUAACUGUCCGAGGAUACGAGAUACGGCGUGACUUGAGAGCGCGAGAGGGACACGGAAUUCCGGGUGGAGUGGUGAAAUGCGUAGAGAUCCGGAGGAACACCGAAGGCGAAGGCAGUGUCCUGGCGCGUAUCUGACGCUGAGGUGCGAAAGCCAGGGGAGCGAACGGG